GCUGGCGGCGCGCCUAACACAUGCAAGUCGAACGAUCGAGAGAGAGCUUGCUUUCUCGAGCGAGUGGCGAACGGGUGAGUAACGCGUGAGGAACCUGCCUCAAAGAGGGGGACAACAGUUGGAAACGACUGCUAAUACCGCAUAAGCCCACGGGUCGGCAUCGACCAGAGGGAAAAGGAGCAAUCCGCUUUGAGAUGGCCUCGCGUCCGAUUAGCUAGUUGGUGAGGUAACGGCCCACCAAGGCGACGAUCGGUAGCCGGACUGAGAGGUUGAACGGCCACAUUGGGACUGAGACACGGCCCAGACUCCUACGGGAGGCAGCAGUGGGGAAUAUUGCACAAUGGGGGAAACCCUGAUGUAGCGACGCCGCGUGGAGGAAGAAGGUCUUCGGAUUGUAAACUCCUGUUGUUGAGGAAGAUAAUGACGGUACUCAACAAGGAAGUGACGGCUAACUACGUGCCAGCAGCCGCGGUAAAACGUAGGUCACAAGCGUUGUCCGGAAUUACUGGGUGUAAAGGGAGCGCAGGCGGGAAGACAAGUUGGAAGUGAAAUCCAUGGGCUCAACCCAUGAACUGCUUUCAAAACUGUUUUUCUUGAGUAGUGCAGAGGUAGGCGGAAUUCCCGGUGUAGCGGUGGAAUGCGUAGAUAUCGGGAGGAACACCAGUGGCGAAGGCGGCCUACUGGGCACCAACUGACGCUGAGGCUCGAAAGUGUGGGUAGCAAACAGGAUUAGAUACCCUGGUAGUCCACACUGUAAACGAUGAUUACUAGGUGUUGGAGGAUUGACCCCUUCAGUGCCGCAGUUAACACAAUAAGUAAUCCACCUGGGGAGUACGACCGCAAGGUUGAAACUCAAAGGAAUUGACGGGGGCCCGCACAAGCAGUGGAGUAUGUGGUUUAAUUCGACGCAACGCGAAGAACCUUACCAAGUCUUGACAUCCCUUGACGAUGCUGGAAACAGUAUUUCUCUUCGGAGCAAGGAGACAGGUGGUGCAUGGUUGUCGUCAGCUCGUGUCGUGAGAUGUUGGGUUAAGUCCCGCAACGAGCGCAACCCUUAUGGUCAGUUACUACGCAAGAGGACUCUGGCCAGACUGCCGUUGACAAAACGGAGGAAGGUGGGGAUGACGUCAAAUCAUCAUGCCCUUUAUGACUUGGGCUACACACGUACUACAAUGGCGUUAAACAAAGAGAAGCAAGACCGCGAGGUGGAGCAAAACUCAGAAACAACGUCCCAGUUCGGACUGCAGGCUGCAACUCGCCUGCACGAAGUCGGAAUUGCUAGUAAUCGUGGAUCAGCAUGCCACGGUGAAUACGUUCCCGGGCCUUGUACACACCGCCCG
RNAcentral lists this ribosomal RNA (1340 nucleotides) under uncultured bacterium. RNAcentral's name for it is "16S ribosomal RNA". It matches the Rfam family "Bacterial small subunit ribosomal RNA", at positions 35 to 1396 of the family's 1533-position model. The record is from RNAcentral.